Molecule: ribosomal RNA, 454 nt
Filed under: Escherichia coli
Lineage: Bacteria; Pseudomonadati; Pseudomonadota; Gammaproteobacteria; Enterobacterales; Enterobacteriaceae
Description: bacterial SSU rRNA
Rfam family: Bacterial small subunit ribosomal RNA
Source: RNAcentral
UCGAACGGUAACAGGAAGAAGCUUGCUUCUUUGCUGACGAGUGGCGGACGGGUGAGUAAUGUCUGGGAAACUGCCUGAUGGAGGGGGAUAACUACUGGAAACGGUAGCUAAUACCGCAUAACGUCGCAAGACCAAAGAGGGGGACCUUCGGGCCUCUUGCCAUCGGAUGUGCCCAGAUGGGAUUAGCUAGUAGGUGGGGUAACGGCUCACCUAGGCGACGAUCCCUAGCUGGUCUGAGAGGAUGACCAGCCACACUGGAACUGAGACACGGUCCAGACUCCUACGGGAGGCAGCAGUGGGGAAUAUUGCACAAUGGGCGCAAGCCUGAUGCAGCCAUGCCGCGUGUAUGAAGAAGGCCUUCGGGUUGUAAAGUACUUUCAGCGGGGAGGAAGGGAGUAAAGUUAAUACCUUUGCUCAUUGACGUUACCCGCAGAAGAAGCACCGGCUAACUCCG